Molecule: long non-coding RNA, 252 nt
Organism: Vidua macroura (Pin-tailed whydah)
Lineage: Eukaryota; Metazoa; Chordata; Aves; Passeriformes; Viduidae
Exons: 3
Source: RefSeq, a predicted model, not a curated record
CAUGCCUCUGGAUUUUUUACAUCCUGUUUGUCUUCACCUAUAUCUCAUGGCAACUCACCUGGAGAACCUGGUGACAUUUUGCAUACUUUGGACUAGUGAAAUCUCUGGGAAUGACUCUAGUUUAUCUGCAGGCAGGAUGUACUUGGAAGCUUAAUGGGCCCCUAGACUAACUGAAAAAUAAAGGAAGGAACAAAUGUCAAACUAAUGAGUGAAAUUAGGAAAAACAACUGGAACAAUAAAACAAGAUGUAAG